AGAAUUUGAUCUUGGUUCAGGACGAACGCUGGCGGCAUGCCUAACACAUGCAAGUCGAACGGGGGUAGCAAUACCCUAGUGGCGAACGGGUGAGUAACACAUAAGCAAUCUGCCCUUCACAGGGGGAUAACAGCGGGAAACUGCUGCUAAUACCGCAUAAGACCACGGUACCGCAUGGUACAGGGGUAAAAACGAAUCAGUGGUGAAGGAUGAGCUUAUGUCCCAUUAGCUAGUUGGUGAGAUAACAGCCCACCAAGGCGACGAUGGGUAGCCGACCUGAGAGGGUGAUCGGCCACACUGGAACUGAGACACGGUCCAGACUCCUACGGGAGGCAGCAGUGGGGAAUAUUGGGCAAUGGAAGGAAACUCUUACCCAGCAAUGCCGCGUGAGUGAAGAAGGUCUUCGGAUUGUAAAGCUCUUUGAUUGGGGACGAAGAAAGUGACGGUACCCAAAGAACAAGCCCCGGCUAACUACGUGCCAGCCGCCGC
This 489-nucleotide ribosomal RNA is filed under the name uncultured bacterium. RNAcentral's name for it is "bacterial SSU rRNA". It matches the Rfam family "Bacterial small subunit ribosomal RNA", at positions 8 to 518 of the family's 1533-position model. The record is from RNAcentral.